AGUGAACGCUGGCGGUGGGCCUAACACAUGCAAGUCGAACGGCAGCACAGUAAGAGCUUGCUCUUACGGGUGGCGAGUGGCGGACGGGUGAGGAAUACAUCGGAAUCUACUUUUUCGUGGGGGAUAACGUAGGGAAACUUACGCUAAUACCGCAUACGACCUACGGGUAAAAGCAGGGGAUCUUCGGACCUUGCGCGAUUGAAUGAGCCGAUGUCGGAUUAGCUAGUUGGCGGGGUAAAGGCCCACCAAGGCGACGAUCCGUAGCUGGUCUGAGAGGAUGAAGGGCGACAAGGGAAGUGAAAACGGGUCCAGACGCCUACGGGAGGAAGCAGGAGGGAAGGGGCAGCAAGGGGCGAAAGCCUGACGGAGCAAUGCGGCGGGAGAGAGGAAGGUCUUGGGAGCGUAAAGCUCUGUUAUGAGAGAAGAAAAAAGGGGUAAGGAACCAUGCAGGUCUUGAGGGUACCGAAGCAGAAAGCCACGGCUAAGUACGUG
This 492-nucleotide ribosomal RNA is filed under the name uncultured bacterium. Its description in RNAcentral is "partial 16S ribosomal RNA". It matches the Rfam family "Bacterial small subunit ribosomal RNA", at positions 30 to 507 of the family's 1533-position model. The record is from RNAcentral.